AAAAAGCUUGAAAAGAGAGUUAAACAGUACGUGAAAUUGCUGAAAGGGAAACGCUUGAAGUCAGUCGCGUCGUCCGGAACUCAGCCUUGCUUUCGCUUGGUGCACUUUCCGGAUGACGGGUCAGCAUCGAUUUUGACCGUCGGAAAAGGGCUAGAGUAAUGUGGCACCUCCGGGUGUGUUAUAGACUCUGGUCGCAUACGGCGGUUGGGAUCGAGGAACGCAGCGCGCCGCAAGGCAGGGGUUCGCCCACUUUCGCGCUUAGGAUGCUGGCAUAAUGGCUUUAAACGACCCGUCUUGAAACACGGACCAAGGAGUCUAACAUACCUGCGAGUGUUUGGGUGGAAAACCCGAGCGCGUAAUGAAAGUGAAAGUUGAGAUCCCUGUCGUGGGGAGCACCGACGCCCGGACCUGACGUUCUCUGACGGAUCCGCGGUAGAGCAUGUAUGUUGGGACCCGAAAGAUGGUGAACUAUGCCUGAAUAGGGUGAAGCCAGAGGAAACUCUGGUGGAGGCUCGUAGCGAUUCUGACGUGCAAAUCGAUCGUCAAAUUUGGGUAUAGGGGCGAAAGACUAAUCGAACCAUCCAGGGUCGAAC
This 593-nucleotide ribosomal RNA is filed under the name Ganoderma tropicum. Its description in RNAcentral is "partial large subunit ribosomal RNA". It matches the Rfam family "Eukaryotic large subunit ribosomal RNA", at positions 368 to 961 of the family's 3401-position model. The record is from RNAcentral. Lineage: Eukaryota; Fungi; Basidiomycota; Agaricomycetes; Polyporales; Polyporaceae.